CGGGAUGUGGCGCAGCUUGGUAGCGCACCUGCUUUGGGAGCAGGGGGCCGCAGGUUCGAAUCCUGUCAUCCCGACCA
RNAcentral lists this transfer RNA (77 nucleotides) under Aeromicrobium tamlense. RNAcentral describes it as "tRNA-Pro". It matches the Rfam family "tRNA". Rfam says of the family: Transfer RNA (tRNA) molecules are approximately 80 nucleotides in length. Their secondary structure includes four short double-helical elements and three loops (D, anti-codon, and T loops). The record is from RNAcentral. RNAcentral also lists the same sequence under 4 other names. Lineage: Bacteria; Bacillati; Actinomycetota; Actinomycetes; Propionibacteriales; Nocardioidaceae.